Molecule: ribosomal RNA, 612 nt
Filed under: Leptographium olivaceum
Lineage: Eukaryota; Fungi; Ascomycota; Sordariomycetes; Ophiostomatales; Ophiostomataceae
Description: partial 28S ribosomal RNA
Rfam family: Eukaryotic large subunit ribosomal RNA
Source: RNAcentral
UUGACCUCGGAUCAGGUAGGAUUACCCGCUGAACUUAAGCAUAUCAAUAAGCGGAGGAAAAGAAACCAACAGGGAUUGCCUCAGUAACGGCGAGUGAAGCGGCAACAGCUCAGAUUUGGAAUCUGGUCCCUCGGGGCCCGAGUUGUAAUCUGGAGAGGAUGCUUCUGGCGCGGCGCCGUCCGAGUUCCCUGGAACGGGACGCCGGAGAGGGUGAGAGCCCCGUACGGUCGGACGCCUAGCCUGUGUGAAGCUCCUUCGACGAGUCGAGUAGUUUGGGAAUGCUGCUCAAAAUGGGAGGUAAAUUUCUUCUAAAGCUAAAUACCGGCCAGAGACCGAUAGCGCACAAGUAGAGUGAUCGAAAGAUGAAAAGCACUUUGAAAAGAGGGUCAAACAGUACGUGAAAUUGUUGAAAGGGAAGCGCCCGUGGCCAGACUUGUGCCCGGCAGACCAUCCGGCGCCCCCGCGCCGGUGCACUCUGCCGGGCGCAGGCCAGCAUCGGUUUUCCCAGGGGGAUAAAGGCGGCGGGAACGUGGCUCCCUCGGGAGCGUUAUAGCCCGCCGCGUCAUGCCUCUGGGGGGACCGAGGACCGCGCAUUUAUGCAAGGAUGCUGGC